GACGAACGCUGGCGGCGUGCUUAACACAUGCAAGUCGAACGGACAGGCCUGCUUUCCCUUGUGCUUUGCGUGUACUCGAGUGGCUAACGGAUGAGUAACACGUGAGUCAUCUGCCCCCAACUUGCUUAUAAGCCUGGGAGACUGUGUCUAAUUCCCUAUAGGACUGCAGGGUGCUGCCUGUGGUGGAAAUCGAUCUUCUAGUUGUUGGGGAUGAGCUCGCGGCGUAUCAGCUUGUUGGUGGGGUAGUGUCCUACCAAGGCGGGGAGGGGUAGCCGGACUGAGAGGGUGGACGGCGACAUUGGGACUGGGACAAGGCUCAGACGCGUAGGGGAGGCAGCAGUGGGGAAGAAUGGAGAAAGGGCGGGAGGCAGAAGCAGCGAGGGCGCGAAGGAGAUGACGGGAUUCGGGUUGUAAGCUACUUGCGAAGGAGAGGAAGCCACGUGGUUGGAAGGGUGGUGACGGUAGUGGUAGAAGAAGCACCGGCUAACUACGUG
RNAcentral lists this ribosomal RNA (494 nucleotides) under uncultured bacterium. RNAcentral describes it as "partial 16S ribosomal RNA". It matches the Rfam family "Bacterial small subunit ribosomal RNA", at positions 28 to 507 of the family's 1533-position model. The record is from RNAcentral.